UUCCUUAGCUCAGUCGGUAGAGCAACGGACUGUUAAUCCGUGGGUCGUUGGUUCGAGCCCAACUCGGGGAGCCA
Molecule: transfer RNA, 74 nt
Filed under: Sutterella sp.
Lineage: Bacteria; Pseudomonadati; Pseudomonadota; Betaproteobacteria; Burkholderiales; Sutterellaceae
Description: tRNA-Asn
Rfam family: tRNA (bases 6-63)
About the family: Transfer RNA (tRNA) molecules are approximately 80 nucleotides in length. Their secondary structure includes four short double-helical elements and three loops (D, anti-codon, and T loops).
Source: RNAcentral